Molecule: non-coding RNA, 23 nt
Filed under: Arabidopsis thaliana (thale cress)
Lineage: Eukaryota; Viridiplantae; Streptophyta; Magnoliopsida; Brassicales; Brassicaceae
Source: RNAcentral
CCAAACCCGUUCCGCCAACCCGU